UGUGGCUCAGUGGUAGAGCACUCACCUAGCAUGUGCAAGGCCCUGGGUUCGAUUCUCAGCA
Molecule: transfer RNA, 61 nt
Filed under: Ictidomys tridecemlineatus (thirteen-lined ground squirrel)
Lineage: Eukaryota; Metazoa; Chordata; Mammalia; Rodentia; Sciuridae
Description: Spermophilus tridecemlineatus (thirteen-lined ground squirrel) tRNA
Rfam family: tRNA
About the family: Transfer RNA (tRNA) molecules are approximately 80 nucleotides in length. Their secondary structure includes four short double-helical elements and three loops (D, anti-codon, and T loops).
Source: Rfam by way of RNAcentral